UUUCUCUAUAGAACUCUCCGUUUUUCUCUUGAGUGGGGCCCGGUGUGGCAAUGGCUAUAAACCAGCAGCCUCCUCGGUAGUGAACACAGCCUGCUGCUUAAAUGUGCUACCCUGAGGGACCUUCAGACAGCA
Molecule: small nucleolar RNA, 132 nt
Organism: Cynocephalus volans (Philippine flying lemur)
Lineage: Eukaryota; Metazoa; Chordata; Mammalia; Dermoptera; Cynocephalidae
Product: small nucleolar RNA SNORA70
Exons: 1
Source: RefSeq, a predicted model, not a curated record